GCAUAACGCGAAGAACCUUACCAAGGCUUGACAUACACCGGAAACGGCCAGAGAUGGUCGCCCCGUAGGGUCGGUGUACAGGUGGUGCAUGGUUGUCGUCAGCUCGUGUCGUGAGAUGUUGGGUUAAGUCCCGCAACGAGCGCAACCCUCGUUCUCUGUUGCCAGCACGUUAUGGUGGGAACUCAGGGGAUACUGCCGGGGUCAACUCGGAGGAAGGUGGGGAUGACGUCAAAUCAUCAUGCCCCUUAUGUCUUGGGCUUCACGCAUGCUACAAUGGCCGGUACAAAGGGCUGCGAUACCGUGAGGUGGAGCGAAUCCCAAAAAGCCGGUCCCAGUUCGGAUCGUAGUCUGCAACUCGACUACGUGAAGUCGGAGUCGCUAGUAAUCGCAGAUCAGCAACGCUGCGGUGAAUACGUUCCCGGGUCUUGUACACACCG
RNAcentral lists this ribosomal RNA (437 nucleotides) under uncultured bacterium. RNAcentral's name for it is "bacterial SSU rRNA". It matches the Rfam family "Bacterial small subunit ribosomal RNA", at positions 954 to 1392 of the family's 1533-position model. The record is from RNAcentral.